Molecule: long non-coding RNA, 535 nt
Filed under: Mytilus galloprovincialis (Mediterranean mussel)
Lineage: Eukaryota; Metazoa; Mollusca; Bivalvia; Mytilida; Mytilidae
Source: RNAcentral
GUAAAUUAAAGUGGCUCAUUUUAGUAUUAUCACUGACUGAUAGAUUUGUCCCUUAAUAGAGAUUAAUGUUCCUAACAAUUGAUGCUAACUUAUAUUUGCUGAUGCAAAUUAUCCCUUAAUUUUAGAUUAUUACUUUUAAAUUAAAUAUAUGUUGUUUUUCAGGAGUUGUGUCCCUUUAAUAUUUUUUUUAUUUAUCAGAAUAUGUUUGGUAUAUAUGUAAUCAAGGCGGUAUUUUAUGCUGAUUACAUUAUCUUUAUUUAUAUUCAAGGUUGUCAAACAAUCCUGUAGUUGUAGUAUUUUUGAAUUUAGAGAUGAUCUGUAUAAAUAUGUAUUAAAAUUAAUUGUUUCUUUUGCACGCCCCCUCAAUUACAUAGUAAUGGCUUAUUUUUUUUAUACCAACCUUAAUGGUGAAAGUAUUCAGAAUUUGAUGAAUUCUGAAAUUCUGCAUUUUAGAUCUGUGGUAAUAAAUAAGUUAUUUGAAUUUGAAACAUCAUUUAAGUUGACAUGUUACAUUUUCAAACAUUUACAAAUGAAC